RNAcentral lists this ribosomal RNA (135 nucleotides) under uncultured bacterium. RNAcentral describes it as "partial 16S ribosomal RNA". It matches the Rfam family "Bacterial small subunit ribosomal RNA", at positions 355 to 507 of the family's 1533-position model. The record is from RNAcentral.
UGGGGAAUAUUGGACAAUGGGCGCAAGCCCGAUCCAGCAAUGCCGCGUGAGUGAGGAAGGCCUUAGGGUUGUAAAGCUCUUUCACCCGCGACGAUGAUGACGGUAGCGGGAGAAGAAGCCCCGGCUAACUUCGUG